UCCCAGUUCCGAACCCGUCGG
This 21-nucleotide small nuclear RNA is filed under the name Arabidopsis thaliana (thale cress). RNAcentral describes it as "snRNA_00530". The record is from RNAcentral. Lineage: Eukaryota; Viridiplantae; Streptophyta; Magnoliopsida; Brassicales; Brassicaceae.